UUGGAGGGCAAGUCUGGUGCCAGCAGCCGCGGUAAUUCCAGCUCCAAUAGCGUAUAUUAAAGUUGUUGCAGUUAAAAAGCUCGUAGUUGAAUUUCGAGAUCAGUACGCUGGUCGUGCCUUCGGUAUGCACUGGUGUCACUGGUUUCUCCCUUCUGAAGAACCGUCAUGUCAUUAAGUUGGUGUUACGGGGAAUUAGGACUGUUACCUUGAAAAAAUUAGAGUGUUUAAAGCAGGCUCGCGCUUGAAUACAUUAGCAUGGAAUAAUGAAAUAGGACAUCCGAUUCUAUUUUGUUGGUUUCUAGGAUCGAUGUAAUGAUUAAUAGGGAUAGUUGGGGGCAUUAGUAUUCAAUUGUCAGAGGUGAAAUUCUUGGAUUUAUUGAAGACUAACUACUGCGAAAGCAUUUGCCAAGGAUGUUUUCAUUAAUCAAGAACGAAAGUUAGGGGAUCGAAGACGAUCAGAUACCGUCGUAGUCUUAACCAUAAACUAUGCCGACUAGGGAUCGGAUGAUGUUAAUUUUUUAAUGACUCAUUCGGCGCCUUACGGGAAAC
This 549-nucleotide ribosomal RNA is filed under the name uncultured Glomus. RNAcentral's name for it is "SSU rRNA". It matches the Rfam family "Eukaryotic small subunit ribosomal RNA", at positions 548 to 1098 of the family's 1831-position model. Lineage: Eukaryota; Fungi; Glomeromycota; Glomeromycetes; Glomerales; Glomeraceae. The record is from RNAcentral.